RNAcentral lists this small RNA (293 nucleotides) under uncultured Treponema sp. RNAcentral describes it as "5' ureB small RNA". It matches the Rfam family "5' ureB small RNA". The record is from RNAcentral. Lineage: Bacteria; Pseudomonadati; Spirochaetota; Spirochaetia; Treponematales; Treponemataceae.
GUCUCGACCUGCUCAGGCGAAAUAAAAUGAAUAUGAGUGUCGAUUCCGCCCGCCGUUAAAAUCAAGCCCUCACCCGCAAGUGCCUCAGUCGAAGCUCCCACAGUCAUUCCCGGAGUUACGCCGUCCAUCGUGUCAGGAUUUCCGGCCUUUCCGAUUCCAGCGAUUUUUCCGUCUUUGAUUCCGAUGUCAGCUUUGUAAAUUCCUGUAUAAUCAAGAAUUACACAGUUCGUAAUCACCAAGUCCAAAUCACCGCCAUCGCUCGUUGUGUUCACCGACUGUCCCAUUCCGUCGCG